RNAcentral lists this ribosomal RNA (406 nucleotides) under uncultured bacterium. RNAcentral's name for it is "partial 16S ribosomal RNA". It matches the Rfam family "Bacterial small subunit ribosomal RNA", at positions 30 to 526 of the family's 1533-position model. The record is from RNAcentral.
AUUGAACGCUGGCGGCAGGCCUAACACAUGCAAGUCGAGCGAGCGGCGGACGGGUGUGUAAUGUCUGGGAAAAUGCCUGAUGGAGGGGGAUAACUACUGGAAACGGUAGCUAAUACCGCAUAUCCUCUGAUGUGUCCAGAGGGGAUUAGCUCGUAGGUGGGGUAACGGCUCACCUAGGCGACGAUCCCUAGCUGGUCUGAGAGGGUGACCAGCCACACUGGAACUGAGACACGGUCCAGACUCCUACGGGAGGCAGCAGUGGGGAAGAUUGCACAAUGGGCGCAAGCCUGAUGCAGCCAUGCCGCGUGUGUGAAGAAGGCCUUCGGGUUGUAAAGCACUUUCAGCGGGGAGGCGUUACUCGCAGAAGAAGCACCGGCUAACUACGUGCCAGCAGCCGCGGUAAUAC